Molecule: long non-coding RNA, 686 nt
Filed under: Calidris pygmaea (Spoon-billed sandpiper)
Lineage: Eukaryota; Metazoa; Chordata; Aves; Charadriiformes; Scolopacidae
Description: lncRNA (ENSCPGG00000011511.1)
Source: RNAcentral
GGGAGCGAUGUACGAGGGCCCCGCAGCCGCCUCCGCGCCGGGAGCAGCGCCCAGCGGCAGGGGCCAGAGAGGAGACUCCGCUGCCUGUCGGCAUCGCUCCAGGGAGCCAGGGAGGAAGGGGCUUCUCCCCAUGGCAGCCGCCCCCCCAACGUAACGCCAGCCAAACUGGACGCCGCAGUCCCCCAAGAGACCCCCCCCUGCCAGCACCCACCCGCCUGUCACCUCCAGCCCGGCCCGGACUCGCCCAGCGCUGCCCUGCCCCACGCCAGCCCCGCGCCCCACGGGUCGGCCACGGGUGGACGCUGUGAUGCCGCGACCAUCACCGACUUGUGCAGCGGCGAUGUCCCCGAGGUGGAGAUCGUCAGCCUGCUGGGCGAGCCGCUGCCGCGCUACACGCUGCGGGCUGACACCGUCUUCGGCUACGAUCAUGACGACUGGCUGCGUGGCCCCCCUGGGCCGCCAGAGCCCCCGGCCCCUCUCACCCCAGAGCAGAUCGAGGAGACCCUGCAGUAUUUCGGUGAGUGCUUCAUCCCAUGGGGGCGUGGGGCUGGCGAGGGCAGCGGGGUGCGGGCAGCGGGGUGCGGGCAGCGGUGCAGGCAGAGGGGUGCAGGCAGAGGGGUGCAGGCAGAGGGGUGCACAUCAAGGUGCUGGAGCGGGUCCAGAGAAGAGCAACAAAGAUGGUGAGG